RNAcentral lists this ribosomal RNA (419 nucleotides) under uncultured bacterium. RNAcentral's name for it is "bacterial SSU rRNA". It matches the Rfam family "Bacterial small subunit ribosomal RNA", at positions 361 to 771 of the family's 1533-position model. The record is from RNAcentral.
AUCUUGCACAAUGAGGGCAACCCUGAUGCAGCGAUGCCGCGUGAGUGAAGAAGGCCUUCGGGUUGUAAAGCUCUUUCGACAGGGAAGAAGGGUUCUAUCUCGAACAGAAGUAGAAUUUGACGGUACCUGGAGAAGAAGCACCGGCUAACUUCGUUCCAGCAGCCGCGGUAAUACGAAGGGUGCAAGCGUUACUCGGAAUUACUGGGCGUAAAGCGUGCGUAGGUGGUUUGUUAAGUCUGAUGUGAAAGCCCUGGGCUCAACCUGGGAAUGGCAUUGGAUACUGGCAGGCUAGAGUGCGGUAGAGGGUAGUGGAAUUCCCGGUGUAGCAGUGAAAUGCGUAGAGAUCGGGAGGAACAUCUGUGGCGAAGGCGACUACCUGGACCAGCACUGACACUGAGGCACGAAAGCGUGGGGAGCAA